GUCGCAGCCGCCGCGGUAAUACGAAGGGACCUAGCGUAGUUCGGAAUUACUGGGCUUAAAGAGCACGUAGGUGGUUGAAAAAGUUGGUGGUGAAAUCCCAGAGCUUAACUCUGGAACUGCCAUCAAAACUUUUUAGCUAGAGUAUGAUAGAGGAAAGUAGAAUUUCUAGUGUAGAGGUGAAAUUCGUAGAUAUUAGAAAGAAUACCAAUUGCGAAGGCAGCUUUCUGGAUCAUUACUGACACUGAGGUGCGAAAGCAUGGGUAGCGAAGAGGAUUAGAUACCCUCGUAGUCCAUGCCGUAAACGAUGUGUGCUAGACGUUGGAAAUUUAUUUUCAGUGUCGCAGCGAAAGCGAUAAGCACACCGCCUGGGGAGUACGACCGCAAGGUUAAAACUCAAAUGAAUUGACGGGGACCCGCACAAGCAGUGGAGCAUGUGGUUUAAUUCGAAGAUACGCGCAGAACCUUACCAACACUUGACAUGUUCGUCGCGACUUUAAGAGAUUAAAGUCUUCGGUUCGGCCGGACGAAACACAGGUGCUGCAUGGCUGUCGUCAGCUCGUGUCGUGAGAUGUUGGGUUAAGUCCCGCAACGAGCGCAACCCUUACUUUUAGUUGCCACCAUUUAGUUGGGCACUCUGAAAGAACUGNC
RNAcentral lists this ribosomal RNA (648 nucleotides) under uncultured bacterium. Its description in RNAcentral is "bacterial SSU rRNA". It matches the Rfam family "Bacterial small subunit ribosomal RNA", at positions 505 to 1153 of the family's 1533-position model. The record is from RNAcentral.